UAGGGAAUCUUCCGCAAUGGGCGAAAGCCUGACGGAGCAACGCCGCGUGAGUGAUGAAGGUCUUCGGAUCGUAAAACUCUGUUAUUAGGGAAGAACAAAUGUGUAAGUAACUAUGCACGUCUUGACGGUACCUAAUCAGAAAGCCACGGCUAACUACGUGCCAGCAGCCGCGGUAAUACGUAGGUGGCAAGCGUUAUCCGGAAUUAUUGGGCGUAAAGCGCGCGUAGGCGGUUUUUUAAGUCUGAUGUGAAAGCCCACGGCUCAACCGUGGAGGGUCAGUGGAAACUGGAAACUUGAGUGCAGAAGAGGAAAGUGGAAUUCCAUGUGUAGCGGUGAAAUGCGCAGAGAUAUGGAGGAACACCAGUGGCGAAGGCGACUUUCUGGUCUGUAACUGACGCUGAUGUGCGAAAGCGUGGGGAUCAAACAGG
This 428-nucleotide ribosomal RNA is filed under the name Actinomycetes bacterium. RNAcentral's name for it is "Actinobacteria bacterium partial 16S ribosomal RNA". It matches the Rfam family "Bacterial small subunit ribosomal RNA", at positions 355 to 776 of the family's 1533-position model. Lineage: Bacteria; Bacillati; Actinomycetota; Actinomycetes. The record is from RNAcentral.